GCGCGGAUGGGGUAGUGGUAACCUGGGUCGUUGCCAUUUGCAGCGUUAACGCGAAAACAUCGACCCGCCGGGGGUUCAAUUCCCCCUCCACGCA
Non-coding RNA from Mycena polygramma, 94 nucleotides. The record is from the annotation of a GenBank genome assembly. Lineage: Eukaryota; Fungi; Basidiomycota; Agaricomycetes; Agaricales; Mycenaceae.